RNAcentral lists this ribosomal RNA (1516 nucleotides) under uncultured bacterium. RNAcentral describes it as "bacterial SSU rRNA". It matches the Rfam family "Bacterial small subunit ribosomal RNA". The record is from RNAcentral.
UAGAGUUUGAUCCUGGCUCAGAUUGAACGCUGGCGGUAACUUUUAAACAUGCAAGUCGAGCGGUAACAGACAUAAAGAUUCAGCUUGCUGAAUCCGGUGCUGACGAGCGGCGAACGGGUGAGUAACGCGUAGGAAUCUACCCAGUAGCGGGGGAUAGCCCGAGGAAACUCGGAUUAAUACCGCAUACGCCCUGAGGGGGAAAGGGGGCAAUUUAUUGCUCUCACUAUUGGAUGAGCCUGCGUAAGAUUAGCUUGUUGGUAGGGUAAUGGCCUACCAAGGCGACGAUCUUUAGCUGGUCUGAGAGGACGAUCAGCCACAUUGGGACUGAGACACGGCCCAGACAUCUACGGAUGGCAGCAGUUAAGAAUAUUGGACAAUGGGGGCAACCCUGAUCCAGGUAUACCGCGUGUGUGAAGAAGGCCCUAGGGUUGUAAAGCACUUUAAUCAGUGAAGAAGCAUUUUAAGUUAAUACCUUAAUUUGUUGACGUUACCUGAAGAAUAAGGACCGGCUAACUCCGUGCCAGCAGCCGCGGUAAUACGGAGGGUCCAAGCGUUAAUCGGAAUUACUGGGCGUAAAGCGCGCGUAGGCGGUUUAGCAAGUUGUAUGUGGAAGCCCUGGGCUCAACCUAGGAACUGCAUCCAAAACUACUAAGCUAGAGUACGAGAGAGGAGAGUAGAAUUUCUGGUGUAGCGGUGAAAUGCGUAGAUAUCAGAAGGAAUACCAAUGGCGAAGGCAGCUCUCUGGCUCGUCACUGACGCUGAGGUGCGAAAGCGUGGGUAGCAAACAGGAUUAGAUACCCUGGUAGUCCACGCCGUAAACGAUGACAACUAACCGUUGGGCAGAUUUAACUGUUCAGUGGCACAGCUAACGCAUUAAGUUGUCCGCCUGGGGAGUACGGCCGCAAGGCUAAAACUCAAAUGAAUUGACGGGGGCCCGCACAAGUGGUGGAGCAUGUGGUUUAAUUCGAUGCAACGCGAAGAACCUUACCAAUCCUUGAAAUCUAGCGAGGUUCGCAGAGAUGUGAAUGUGCCUUCGGGAACGCUAUGACAGGUGUUGCAUGGCUGUCGUCAGCUCGUGUCGUGAGAUGUAUGGUUAAGUCCAGUAACGAGCGCAACCCCUAUCCUUAUUUGCCAGCGCGUAAUGGCGGGAACUAUAGGGAGACUGCCGGGUGAAACCCGGAGGAAGGCGGGGACGAGGUCAAGUCAUCAUGGCCCUUAUGGAUUGGGCUACACACGUGCUACAAUGGGAAGUACAGAGGGAUGCGAAAGCGCGAGCUGGAGCCAAACCCUUAAAACUUUUCUUAGUCCGGAUUGGAGUCUGCAACUCGACUCCAUGAAGUCGGAAUCACUAGUAAUCGCGAAUCAGAAUGUCGCGGUGAAUACGUUCUCGGGCCUUGUACACACCGCCCGUCACAUCAUGGAAGUGGGUUGCACCAGAAGUGGUUAGUCUAACCUUCGGGAAGACGAUCACCACGGUGUGAUUCAUGACUGGGAUGAAGUCGUAACAAGGUAACCA